Molecule: long non-coding RNA, 282 nt
Organism: Lolium rigidum
Lineage: Eukaryota; Viridiplantae; Streptophyta; Magnoliopsida; Poales; Poaceae
Exons: 3
Source: RefSeq, a predicted model, not a curated record
AACUUCUGGCUCUCGCACACUGCAGUGUACAUUCCUCUGCAGUUAUGGUGCCCUCAGAUUUCCGUACUGCUCUGCAACCAGGAGGAGACACCAUGGCCAGCCUUUCAUCGAUGGGCCGUGCUUACUUCUCCACUUCAGUUAUGGUGCUCUCAGAUUUCCGUACUGCUCUGCCACAGUAAGGGUCCAAGAAUCCAAGCUGCAACCUUUACUUGCUCCACUUUUCUUCAUCCUCCACUCCCCAACAUGCUCUUGUAGAUCAAAAACACACUCUCACAGGGAGGA